CCUACGGGAGGCUGCAGUGGGGAAUAUUGGACAAUGGGGGCAACCCUGAUCCAGCCAUGCCGCGUGUGUGAAGAAGGCCCUCGGGUUGUAAAGCACUUUCAGUGAGGAAGAACGCCUGGUGGUUAAUACCCAUCAGGAAAGACAUCACUCACAGAAGAAGCACCGGCUAACUCCGUGCCAGCAGCCGCGGUAAUACGGAGGGUGCGAGCGUUAAUCGGAAUUACUGGGCGUAAAGCGCGCGUAGGUGGCUUGAUAAGCCGGUUGUGAAAGCCCCGGGCUCAACCUGGGAACGGCAUCCAGAACUGUCAAGCUAGAGUGCAGGAGAGGAAGGUAGAAUUCCCGGUGUAGCGGUGAAAUGCGUAGAGAUCGGGAGGAAUACCAGUGGCGAAGGCGGCCUUCUGGACUGACACUGACACUGAGGUGCGAAAGCGUGGGUAGCAAACAGGAUUAGAUACCCGAGUAGUC
This 465-nucleotide ribosomal RNA is filed under the name Vreelandella stevensii. RNAcentral's name for it is "partial 16S ribosomal RNA". It matches the Rfam family "Bacterial small subunit ribosomal RNA", at positions 338 to 795 of the family's 1533-position model. Lineage: Bacteria; Pseudomonadati; Pseudomonadota; Gammaproteobacteria; Oceanospirillales; Halomonadaceae. The record is from RNAcentral.